Long non-coding RNA from Leucoraja erinaceus (little skate), 909 nucleotides. RefSeq lists it as uncharacterized. Lineage: Eukaryota; Metazoa; Chordata; Chondrichthyes; Rajiformes; Rajidae. The transcript is spliced from 2 exons. The record is from RefSeq and is a predicted model, not a curated record.
AAAAAUAAAUAUCGCUGCUGUUUUUUUCUAAUUCACUGAUUACAGCCGUAUGGGGACCGUGCUACUAUUAAACUAUUGAAUUCAUGGAGACAAGGUUGAAAUUGGACCGAAUUCGCUGUCACAUGAUUGCGUCUGCCCAAUGACAAUUUGGGGUUUAAUCAAAAGAAGGCACUGUCUAUGUGAUUGAUCCAAAAAGUCAGAGAGGAACGCCUCAUUCUGGGCUAGCAGUGUUUUGAUUCCUACUUUUUGAUCCAUCUUCCCAUAUUAAAUGUGUAAAAAAUUUCAGUUUUAAAGCUUGUGGAAAUCAGUUCACACAUCCUGGCUUGUUUCUUACAGCCUCCCUCUAUGUCUUCCGCACACUUGCUGGCUCCUCUUUCUCUGUGUGUUACCGACUGUCACGAAGACGACUUGCACCUCACAAAUCAUCUUGCACCUAAAUCUGACGCCUAGAGUCAUUAACAAAGUAAUCCAUUAAUCUUCAAAGUUUUGACAUUGGACCCCAGAACCCAGCCACAUAAGAAGUUACACAAGGCGAAGCUACAGCCAUUUGCUUCCAUGCUUUCGUUGGGAAUUCUGUCCCCCUAUUAUUAUAUCUGUACUGUACCGGAUAUUCCUUGAUUUUUGUGCUGUAUGGAGGCAAUAGUUCACGCAGGAGAUCGAAUAUGGUGGUGAUUCUGGAAACUCCAUUACAUUUUUGUAGUCGUUUGUUUAUGGCCAACGAAAAACGUAAACGGCAAUUCAUUGCAGCAUGUGGAUUAUGUACUGGAGAAGGAACGAGGCGAUAAUGGCAGUACAACCCGGCUGGUGAUCUUUUGAGUGUGCAUUGUAAUAUCUGAACCUUUUAAGAUGUGCUAUGUACAUGUCUUGAUCAAACAAUCUAUUAUUAAUAAUUAAAGAAAAUUAAUCCAA